UUCCUGAGUAUCAGCUACUUCGGGCUUUGCAGCAUUCUGAGGUUGUUCAUUUUCCAUCUUUCCUUGAUUCUCAGGCAUUCCUUCAUUUACACUGCAGAGUUUUUCCAUGUUGAGAUGUCCCCUCCUUUUCCUGUCCUGGGGGAAUCCUGGACAGGUUCCUUCCUUUUAUAGCGUAGCGAGUGCUGAGAACAACAGAUACGCAGACCUG
Molecule: long non-coding RNA, 208 nt
Organism: Pipistrellus kuhlii (Kuhl's pipistrelle)
Lineage: Eukaryota; Metazoa; Chordata; Mammalia; Chiroptera; Vespertilionidae
Exons: 2
Source: RefSeq, a predicted model, not a curated record